GAUGAACGCUGGCGGCGUGCCUAAUACAUGCAAGUCGAGCGAACGGACGAGAAGCUUGCUUCUCUGAUGUUAGCGGCGGACGGGUGAGUAACACGUGGAUAACCUACCUAUCAGACUGGGAUAACUUCGGGAAACCGGAGCUAAUACCGGAUAAUAUUUUGAACCGCAUGGUUCAAAAGUGAAAGACGGUCUUGCUGUCACUUAUAGAUGGAUCCGCGCUGCAUUAGCUAGUUGGUAAGGUAACGGCUUACCAAGGCAACGAUGCAUAGCCGACCUGAGAGGGUGAUCGGCCACACUGGAACUGAGACACGGUCCAGACUCCUACGGGAGGCAGCAGUAGGGAAUCUUCCGCAAUGGGCGAAAGCCUGACGGAGCAACGCCGCGUGAGUGAUGAAGGUCUUCGGAUCGUAAAACUCUGUUAUUAGGGAAGAACAUAUGUGUAAGUAACUGUGCACAUCGUGACGGUACCUAAUCAGAAAGCCACGGCUAACUACGUG
RNAcentral lists this ribosomal RNA (497 nucleotides) under uncultured bacterium. RNAcentral describes it as "partial 16S ribosomal RNA". It matches the Rfam family "Bacterial small subunit ribosomal RNA", at positions 28 to 507 of the family's 1533-position model. The record is from RNAcentral.